RNAcentral lists this unclassified non-coding RNA (205 nucleotides) under plant metagenome. Its description in RNAcentral is "partial contains small subunit ribosomal RNA, internal transcribed spacer 1, and 5.8S ribosomal RNA". The record is from RNAcentral.
GUAGGUGAACCUGCGGAAGGAUCAUUAUUGUUUGGGGACUCUGUCCUCCUUACGAUUCACCCUUGCUUUUUUUUGCGCACCCUUUGUUUCCUCGGCAGCUUUGCCUGCCAAUGAGGACCCCCUAAAACCCUUUUGCAAUCUUAGUAUAACGUUCUGAAAACAAACAAUAUUAAAACUUUCAACAAUGGAUCUCUUGGCUCUGGCA